GACGAACGCUGGCGGCGUGCUUAACACAUGCAAGUCGAACGAUGAACCCGGAGCUUGCUCUGGGGGAUUAGUGGCGAACGGGUGAGUAACACGUGAGUAACCUGCCCUGGACUCUGGGAUAAGCGUUGGAAACGACGUCUAAUACCGGAUAGGACCUUGGAUCGCAUGAUCUGGGGUGGAAAGUUUUUUCGGUCUGGGAUGGACUCGCGGCCUAUCAGCUUGUUGGUGAGGUAAUGGCUCACCAAGGCGUCGACGGGUAGCCGGCCUGAGAGGGUGACCGGCCACCCUUGGACUGAGGCACGGGCCAGACCCCUACGGGGGGGAGCAGUGGGGAAUAUUGCACCAUGGGCGAAAGGCUGAUGGAGCAACGCCGCGUUCGGGAUGACGGCCUUCGGGUUGUAAACCGCUUUUAGUAGGGAAGAAGGGCUUCGGCUUGACGGGAACUGCAGAAAAAGGACCGGCUAACUACGUG
Molecule: ribosomal RNA, 472 nt
Filed under: uncultured bacterium
Lineage: Bacteria
Description: partial 16S ribosomal RNA
Rfam family: Bacterial small subunit ribosomal RNA
Source: RNAcentral